CAGCAGCCGCGUAAUACGAAGGGUGCAAGCGUUAAUCGGAAUUACUGGGCGUAAAGCGUGCGUAGGCGGUGAGUUAAGUCUGCUGUGAAAUCCCCGGGCUCAACCUGGGAAUGGCAGUGGAUACUGGCUCGCUAGAGUGUGUCAGAGGAUGGUGGAAUUCCCGGUGUAGCGGUAAAAUGCGUAGAGAUCGGGAGGAACAUCAGUGGCGAAGGCGACCAUCUGGGACAACACUGACGCUGAGGCACGAAAGCGUGGGGAGCAAACAGGAUUAGAGACCCCUGUAGUCCCUGUCUCUUAUACA
RNAcentral lists this ribosomal RNA (301 nucleotides) under uncultured bacterium. Its description in RNAcentral is "partial 16S ribosomal RNA". It matches the Rfam family "Bacterial small subunit ribosomal RNA", at positions 509 to 808 of the family's 1533-position model. The record is from RNAcentral.